RNAcentral lists this long non-coding RNA (3973 nucleotides) under Cucumis sativus (cucumber). RNAcentral describes it as "long non-coding RNA (CSAT_LNC002726)". The record is from RNAcentral. Lineage: Eukaryota; Viridiplantae; Streptophyta; Magnoliopsida; Cucurbitales; Cucurbitaceae.
UCUUCUUUUUUUCUUCUUCUUUGUGUAAGAUCCACGUGUCGUCCUUCCUUCUCGAUUUUUCCUCCCUUUCGCUAACCAUCUCUAUCCCUCACUUAUGCACGCUGGAAACGACGUGACUUUUCGUCAACGACACACCCGAAGUUCUCCUCUCUCUCCUUCAGCCGACGCCACCACCUAACACCCCUUGCACCGCUGAACUCACUGGUAAAUCUCAGCCACCACAUGCGGUAGCUCGCUGAAGAUCAAGCCCAUUAUGGUCUGUCUCCAUUCUUAGCUCAGAUUCAACUUCUAGAGUUUUCACUUUGACUCCCAUUUUCUUUUCAUUUCUCUUCAAAUGCUUACAUUUUACCCACAAUAUGAAGGUAUUCAAUCAAAGUUUCAUUAUUUCUAUUGUUUGUAUUUGUACAUUAUAUUAACUUCAAAUGCUUUCAUUUUACCCACAAUGUGAUAUAUUGAUGGUUCUUUUUAUAAAAAACAUCCCUCAUAGUUUUGCUUUUAUAGGAGAUACGUGUUUGUGUUGUCUACCAUCCUAUUCAAUAUUGUUGUUUACGAUCAUUUUUCUAAUGUGAAUGUACAUUUUUUCUUUAUGGUUGGCUAUGUGAUGAAGCAUUUUGGUAGCUUACAAUGUGUUUGAUAAAAUGCCUCAAUGAAGCAUUUGGUUGAUUUUUAAUUGAUUUUUGUUCAUUCGAAUUAGGAAAUCAAGGCCAAGGGAGAUUUCAUGGCUAUGGGCUGAAGCUUUGAGAAAAAGAGAAUGAAAAAUGAAAUGUGAGAUUUUAAACUUUGAUGAUGUGUAGGAUCUUUUUGUUUGUCUAUGCAUUUUCCUAGUGAAUAUGAGUACUUGAACUCCCAUAUUGAUCUUUUGUUUAUGGUUACUAUUGAGUUGUAUCGUAAUUGCAUGAUAGUUAUAGCAUAAACAAACUAUAUAUAUAAACUUGAACACAAGUACUUGUUAUCUAACUCAUUAAUAAAUUGUUGUAAUUUGGUUACUCUUGAUUUACUAAUGAUUGAAGAUUAAAAAAGUUAUGAACAUUUUCACUAUGAGCAAGAAAUAAACUAUUUAUGAUGCUAAUGAACUUAUCUUGAUUUAUAGGAAGCUCUGAUAAACCAUCAAUUUAAACAAUUGUUUUGGCCUUGUUAUAGUUGUGAAUUCUAUUUCUUUUUGUUGGUGUUGGAAGUCAGUAUGCAAUAAUGGUCCUACACCUCUUAGGCAGAGAGAAGUAUGAUAUUUGUGCGAGGUAAGACAUUUGCUAGUAAACCUAAAUGUAUCAUUGAAUUUCAUUUUCCAUUGUUAUUAUCUUUGAAAAAGAAGCCUAACCUUCACUCUCUUUUUCUUUUUGUCUCUAUUAUGAUCUUGCAAUCUUGGAAGGAUUAUGGUUUCUUUUGUAAUAUAAAAUUCUUUUAUUUUAUUUGGAUUGAAAUUAUGUCUUGCUUUGAUUGAAGGAUAGAGGGAAGUGAUUAUUGAUAAUUAUAGGUAUGUUCUCUCUCCCUUUCUUACAAUAAGGAUAGUAGCAACAAAAUUACUACAUGUUCUUCUAUAUUGAAAGGAAAGACAAAAAAAAAUGGUGGUGAAUUAAAAUGGCUCGCAAAAAUCAUAUCAUUAAAGUGGGAGUCUGAGACAUACAGUGAUGGUAUGGUUAUGAUUUAUGCAUUCAUAAAGUAUAGUCAUUUUGCUACUAUGGAGGCUAUAUUUUUUAUUUUUUUACUUUCUGGUAUAUGCUUCAUAUUGUGUAUAAUAUUAAGUCAUGAUUUAUAAUGCACUUAGUAUAGACAUCCUUUAUAAAGCUACGUGAACUUUUCAUAUGACAUACCCUUUUUAACAAAACUCCCCAAACCUUGUUUGUAAUAUUUGCAUUUUUGGAUAGAUGUAUUGUAGGUUCAUUGUUGAUAUUGGGUAUUCUUGGACAAAGAUUUAUUUUGUAUGGUAGAAUUUUAUUUGUCACUUACAAUGCUAGAUCUUUCCAAGAGGAGUAAAUUUAAUUUGAAAAUUUUGAAAUACACCACUGCUUGAAAUGGAUGCUAGUCCUCUGUAAUGAAAUUUUGUUUAUGAAAUUUUUUGGAUUAAUUAGGAAGUGGAAGUGAAUCGUUUCUUGCAGACAAAAAAAAGAUAUAUUCAAUGGUAAACUGGUUUUUAGGUAUCUCCCAUUUGGAGUUACUUUAAACUUGCAAGACAGAGGGAGGUGUUUAUGUACUUGCUUAUAACUGCAGUUUCAGUUCUGUGUCUUUGUCUUUUUUCUGUUUAUUAAUCCCCUUUUCACCUUUGUGAUUCAAUGGUUGUGGAGAAGAAUUUUUUUUUGCAAUAUUUGAUUUAUUAUUUAUUUUUUCCAUUUGUAUCAGUGUUUAGUGCUUAUGUGUAUUCAAAUUAAAUCAGGGAGGAGUUUUUAAUUUAUUAGGUCGUGUUUGUUAUCUAUUUGGUUUUUGGCUUUAAGUUUUCGAAACUUAAGCCUAUGCACUUUUUUUCUACCUCAACUUUUUAUCAAUGUUUUUAAAAUUAGGCCAAAUUAAUGUUUUUGAAACUGUCAUUAUUAUAUGUGCUAUAAUUCUUAAAGAAUUUACUCGUAUAGAGAGAGAAGCAUUCCAUGCUAGAAAACAAUGACUCUAUUGGAAAGACUCCAGUGAAGGCCAUUAUAUAAUUCCAGACUUGGAGAGUUGGUAAGUUAUUCUGUGAUGUUAAAUUUCUUGUAGACAUUUAUGUGAUAUACUUUUUCAGGAAGAAUACUACAUUUGGUACCUAAGGCCUUAGUUAUAUCUUCACUUACAGGCUUUUGUUUAUAGGUAUUACAUAUUUCAUUAUUAAAAAUUGCCUUAACUUUAUUUCCUUUGUAUAUGCUGCCCAGGUUGGUAGAAAUUACUUUAGCCAAUUUCACAAUUUGAGUAUUACAGUUUGGUUUGGUUCUUUAUUGAUCGUGGACUUUCCCUAUUUGAUGCAAUCCUUAUUGUUUUCAUGUUUCAGAUAGCAUGGAUUUUUCCUGAGAUCCUAUAAGUUUUUCUUCAAAUCAUCACUUGCUCUGCUAGAUGAUGAGCCGUAGUGGGUUAGCAAGAUUACCAUGAUGUUGCCUUUGCUAUUUUGGGGAUUUAGUUUCACAUGUGAAGCCUUAUUUUUUUAGGCUAAGUUAUGAAUUAGUGGGAUAGUCAUAUAAAUUCCACCAUGAAAUUGUUACUUUUUAUAAAUGAUUUGAACCAUUGAAUGGCUAUACAUAGGUGUACUUUUCUCAUGGGAUUUAAGUUGAAAUCAUACUUUCAAUCAAGUGUUCUUGAUGUUUUUGUUGUCUCGGGUGUAUUUGAUGUCUUAGCAUAUACUAGUAUAUAAAUUGUUUCUUUUAAAUCAUACUAGUAAAUAAACUCAAGUUCAUGGACAUUGGGUUUCAUUUUGUUAAGAAAAGUAGUGUUUCCAAAUCUAUCUUUUGAGUAUUGCAAUAGCCUCAUCUCAACAAUCUAUGCUUGUUUGGCAAUCACAUUGGUUUUCAUCUUUAUUUAAUAAUAAUUUGUAUGUGUAUAAAACUUUGAAAUCUAGAUAAUGUUUUGAAGAUGGUUUUGUUGGUAGAGGAUUGAUUCUAUUGGGGGGUGUUUGAUAAUUUUUGUGCUAUAUUCAUGUUGUAAUCUCUUUAAGCGAGUUAUACUCUCUUGUCCUGUGAUGUAUACUUAUAUUCAUGUUGUCUUUGUAGGUUCUAAUGGAAUCGACAAAGUUCAUAAAAUUUCCGUCAAAGAAGCUAAUUAGGGUCAUCAAAAUACACUGGUUGUUUUUAGAAAUGAAGGAUUUGACCAUGGUUCAAGCAACAAAGAAUAUUUUCAAAGGUGAAGGAUUACCGGUUGGUUGUUUAUGCUUGUACAGAAAAUCAUGUUAUAUGUAUUAUGAUGGUAUUUUAAUGUAAUUCAAGUUGGACUUAAUUUCUCAAAAAUUAAUUCUCUGCCUAUUCUCAGUUGGAGAAUGACUAUUUAUUGAUGAAUUGUAUGUAGUAGUUACAAUCAGUUUUGG